RNAcentral lists this ribosomal RNA (305 nucleotides) under uncultured bacterium. Its description in RNAcentral is "bacterial SSU rRNA". It matches the Rfam family "Bacterial small subunit ribosomal RNA", at positions 335 to 657 of the family's 1533-position model. The record is from RNAcentral.
GGUCCUACGGGAGGCAGCAGUAGGGAAUCUUCCACAAUGGGCGAAAGCCUGAUGGAGCAACGCCGCGUGAGUGAAGAAGUAUUUCGGUAUGUAAAGCUCUAUCAGCAGGGAAGAAAAUGACGGUACCUGACUAAGAAGCCCCGGCUAACUACGUGCCAGCAGCCGCGGUAAUACGUAGGGGGCAAGCGUUAUCCGGAUUUACUGGGUGUAAAGGGAGCGUAGACGGCAUGGCAAGUCAGAUGUGAAAGCCCGGGGCUCAACCCCGGGACUGCAUUUGAAACUGUCAGGCUGGAGUGCAGGAGAGG